AUUAUUCCUACUACGAACCCGUCUAUGCAUAUUCCAAGUUUACAUUCGUCUUCUAGCACAAAUAAUCAGUACCACAAAUUACCAAAGUUGAACUUGCCUACUUUUAAAGGGAAUAUUCUAGAUUGGCAAUCCUUUUGGGAUUCAUAUGAGACAUCUAUUCACACAAAUCCAACACUCAGCGACGUACAGAAGUUUAACUACUUAAAGUCACUUCUACAGGGAGAAGCGUUUCAGACCAUAUCAGGUUUUGCUAUGACAAACACUAACUACGGCAAAGCUAUUUCGUUGUUACAAGAGAGGUAUGGACAGAUACAUACUAUAAUACAAACAUACAUGCAAGCUCUACUUGAGAUUUCGCCGCCAAUUUAUACUUUAGUAAGCCUCCGCAAUUAUUAUGACAAAACUGAAACUUACGUACGAGGUCUAGAGUCACUCGGACAGACUACAGACACUUAUGGUUCACUACUUGUACCGGUUAUUCUGAACAAGUUGCCCGCAGAAAUACGCCAAAACCUAGCAAGACAACACGGACCGUCAAGUUGGAAUUUGAAAGAUUUGAGGAAGAGUAUACUUAACGAAAUUCAGAUCAUGGAGGCGGGAAAAAAUACAGGUACAUAUCUCGAGUCUUCAGAAAGUCACUUCACAACCGCAUCUACAUGUACAUUUCAUACAGGAAUAGAAUCACCGCGAAUACACACAGCACACAAC
RNAcentral lists this long non-coding RNA (708 nucleotides) under Mytilus galloprovincialis (Mediterranean mussel). Lineage: Eukaryota; Metazoa; Mollusca; Bivalvia; Mytilida; Mytilidae. The record is from RNAcentral.